Molecule: long non-coding RNA, 1366 nt
Filed under: Homo sapiens (human)
Lineage: Eukaryota; Metazoa; Chordata; Mammalia; Primates; Hominidae
Description: HSALNT0353061
Source: RNAcentral
GAAAAUGGCGGAUGAGGCCGGGCGCGGUGGCUCACGCCUGUGGUCCCAGCACUUUGGGAGGCCGAGGCGGGCGGAUCACAAGGUCAGGAAAUCGAGACCAUCCUGGCGAACACUGUGAAACCCCGUCUCUUCUAAAAAUACAAAAAAAAAUUAGCCAGGCGUGGUGGCGGGCGCUUGUAGUCCCAGCUACUCAGGAUGCUGAGGCAGGAGAAUGGCGUGAACCCGGGAGGCGCAGCUUGCAGCGAGCCAAGAUGGCGCCGCUGCACUCCAGCCUGGGCAGCAGAGCGAGACUCCAUCUCAAAAAAAAAAAAAAAAAAAAAGAAAAGAAAAGAAACUGGCGGACAAAGGAAGAGAUCCUCCUUCAGGCAGGGUAGGGAAGAAGGGCACUCGGUGACCAGAGACCUUUUCCAGGACCAUGUCUUUGAAGCAAAUCUCAGCUCUUGUCUUCCGGAAGCGAUGGAGACAGAAUCCAGAAGCCUGAGACUCUCUCCUUUCCUGGCUUUGAUGAAGCAAGCUGCCACACUGGAGAGGCCUACAUGAUAAGGACCUGAAGGUGGCCUCCAGCUAGCUCCAGCCAACAGUUGGCAAGGAAUUGAGGACCUGAGUCCAAUAGACCUUGAGGAACUGAAUCCUGCAACAGCUACACAAGUGAGCAUGGCAGUGUAUCCUUCCCCAGUAAAGCCUUCAGAUGAGACCCCAGCCCCAGCUGACACCUUGAUUGAAGCCUUGUGAGAGACCCUGAAGCAGAGAAACCAGCUAGGCCUUGCCUGGAUUCCUGAUCCACAAACUGCUUUUGUGAUGCCCUAUAAUUACAUGAACUCUACUAAAAAGAGGGAUACUGGAAAGAAGAAUAAUGUUGAGACACCUUUGCAGAAGAAAAAACAACUUCCUCUCUUCCUCUACUUCACUCUGGCAAGUUCUCCAACCUGACAAGCCAGUAGGGAGUGCCGGAAUGUCAUGGCUGAGAAAAGAGAUGUUAACAGGCUGUAUGAUGUUGGCCACAGAGUGCCCCCCUAAAGAGGCCUCAGAAGAAUGAAGGGAGUGCCGGAAUGUCAUGGCUGAGAAAAGAGAUGUUAACAGGCUGUAUGAUGUUGGCCACAGAGUGCCCCCCUAAAGAGGCCUCAGAAGAAUGAAGGGCAACAUGACCUACGACGCUUUGGAUCUCCAUGGCAAGCAUUGACACUGGCAAAAAUUAUCUAAUAAACACUUAUAUUGAAUGAGUAAACGUUAGAGAGACAUGGAAGCAAGUAUGAAAGACCUCGCCAGGACUUUAGAUGGACUGAACUGAUCAUAAAAGAAACUUCAGUUCUUGGCCGGGCGCAGUGGCUCACGCCUGUAAUCCCAGCACUUUGGGAGGCUGAGGUGG